UGUGCUACUCUAGAAGUCCCUUUUUCCAUUACUAGUUACAACAUUAAUUCAGCACUUCAGAUAAGCUGCUUGCAUGAACCCGACAUCAGUGUGAAAUCAUCAAGCAAGAAAUGGAAUCUUGUGCAUCGUGCAAUGAUUAUGCACAUAGUAUCUAGCUUUUCUAAUAGAUGCAGAUAGUUUAUUUUUCUUAAAUGAUCAAAAUCGCACAACUUAAAACAUGGUAGAAAGGCACCUCAUUAGAAUUCCAUUUAAAAACUAAAAUAAUGUAAGAUAUGGCUGUGCCUGCUUUCAGAAAAAACUAUAGUGACCCUUUAAUCGGAGUGCCAGUGUCUCAAGCACCUUGUAGAAGUAGUCGCAACACUGCAUUUCCCACAGCUCGAGCAUAAAAUGAUUGCACUCUGAUUUCUGCCUCCCAAUGGAGAAGAUUAUUCAUCCUGAAAUUGAAUGCCUUUGCCCUGCACCAAUUAAUAAGAGCAAUUUGCAUUGGUAAUUUGAAAGGCACGCUAGCUCAACUGACAGAUUCUAUUAUGGCUAGAGGUAUCAGUGAAGUAUCAGACACAACUGAGAUACUGACUUCGUAAUAAGCUGUGUUGGCUGCCAAAUGGAAGAAUGCUCCCCUAUCCCUUGUGACAGCGCUGGUGUUUGUGUAACGAUAUGGUAAACUGGUUCAAGGAGCUGAUAUAGCUGAAGACUAACUGUUGUCCUCCCUCAAGUAAUGGGUUUCCUGCUGAUCAUGUCAGUGAUUGCGUUAACCAUGUUCAGUGUUCGUGGAGGGGAGGAGUAAAGCAGCAGAGGGAGACUGCGGCAACUUGGAUUUCUUCCAUUUGCUAUUGAAAGCAGCAGCUCCUCUGUUCACUGUUCUCUGGAUUUAUACAUAUGGAAAUGAUCAAAUUGCUUCAAUUUCUGAAUAUGGCUAAAGUACAAAAAGGAUGACUGCGUGAGCACCUGUGAAUUGCUGUCUGCCAGGGAAGGGAUGAAACACCUUGCACACGACAGCUGGCUCAGACAUUUUCACUCAAAAGCUUUAUAAAGUGGAAAACAGGAAAGAGGAAGACAGAAGGCUAAGCAUGAACUAACUUGCUUAAUGAGGUGGUCUACCAGCAAGUUUGUGUUAAGUGAACUGAAAGACCUGUACCCCUUGGCAGCAGCCACUCCACAGCAUGGAUCCUUCUUGUUUAUUUUAAAACCCAACUAAUUAAAAGUAAUAACUCAUUU
Phalacrocorax carbo (great cormorant) is the source of this 1215-nucleotide non-coding RNA. NCBI's taxonomy places the organism in Eukaryota, Metazoa, Chordata, Aves, Suliformes, Phalacrocoracidae. The record is from RefSeq and is a predicted model, not a curated record.